Molecule: long non-coding RNA, 444 nt
Organism: Camellia sinensis
Lineage: Eukaryota; Viridiplantae; Streptophyta; Magnoliopsida; Ericales; Theaceae
Source: RefSeq, a predicted model, not a curated record
GGGAGUUGACUAGGGAAAACUUCAUAUUCUUGUGGUGGAUAUGCCCCUAGGAUUGGUGAUGCUCAGAUAUCUAUUUCUCAGAGGCUGCAACUAUUAGGUAGAUGAAAGUAUACAUGAACAAAGUUUCAGAGGUUUUGAUGCUUUCAACUUGAGGAUCAGCAGUUAUCAAGGCUCAAGCAAAUUGCCAUAAAACACACUAUGGCUUGAAGUAUUGCUUCAGACAUAAAGACCAUGGCGAGUCGUCGGGUUGACCAAUUCGAUGAUCACAUGGAAGAAGAAGCAUAGGUAGAAGAAGAAGAAGAAGAAGAAGAAGAAGAAGAAGAAGAAGAAGAAUUAGAGGGGGAUUUGGCAGAGUUUGUUGAUGGGGAAUACUACUAUGGUGGAGGUGAUGGUGAAGAAAUGGGCUUUGAUGAUUAUAAAAUGGUUUGUUUUCUUUAAUGCUUA